GGGAAAGUUGAAAAGCACUUUGAAAAGAGAGUGCAAGAGAACGUGAAAACGAUGCAAUGGAAGCGAAUGAAGUUGACGUAUCUAAUGCGUAUUCAGUUGUUGGGCUUGAUGAUCUCUUCUCUUGGUAUUCCGUAAGGUUGCCACAGUGGAGUUGUUGUUAGGUUCAACAAUGCACUUACGUAUAGAGUGCAGUGAGUCGGUUGGUGCUAUUGGUAGAAGCUGUUCUAGAGGGCGUACUUCGGUGCGUGUCCUGGUUCAGUGGAUGGCCAAUUGGUGCUGGCUGGGUUAUGUGAAGCGGUGGCAUACGUGCCGUUUUCAGUCGUUCUGGUGAUCUUGUGUUUAUACGCUUGCGUACAGCAUCUGAUUGCCUUGACGAUGGGAUUCGGUUCGCUCCGUCUUCAUUCACUGUAUAGUCGAUCACUCAUUCGACCCGUCUUGAAACACGGACCAAGGAGUUUAUAGUAUACGCGAGUCAUUGAGUACUGAACGAAGCUCAAAGGCGUAAUGAAAGUGAUAACUGUUAACGUUAAGGUUAGGAUCAGGAGUAUGGAUGUAACAGUCCGCUUCUGCGCACUAACUUCCCAUUCCUAGGACUUGUCCUGGUGUGGAGAAUGAGCGUAUACAAUGAGACCCGAAAGAUGGUGAACUAUGCCUGAACAGGAUGAAGCCAGAGGAAACUCUGGUGGAAGUCCGAA
This 695-nucleotide ribosomal RNA is filed under the name Ektaphelenchoides hunti. RNAcentral's name for it is "partial large subunit ribosomal RNA". It matches the Rfam family "Eukaryotic large subunit ribosomal RNA", at positions 357 to 879 of the family's 3401-position model. The record is from RNAcentral. Lineage: Eukaryota; Metazoa; Nematoda; Chromadorea; Rhabditida; Aphelenchoididae. RNAcentral also lists the same sequence under 1 other name.